GUCUCGGUCGUCUAGUCAGGCUCAGGACACCGCCCUUUCACGGCGGCGACACGGGUUCGAAUCCCGUCCGAGACG
Molecule: transfer RNA, 75 nt
Filed under: Acidobacteriota bacterium
Lineage: Bacteria; Pseudomonadati; Acidobacteriota
Also listed under: 1 other name
Description: Acidobacteria bacterium (activated sludge metagenome) tRNA-Glu
Rfam family: tRNA
About the family: Transfer RNA (tRNA) molecules are approximately 80 nucleotides in length. Their secondary structure includes four short double-helical elements and three loops (D, anti-codon, and T loops).
Source: RNAcentral